RNAcentral lists this ribosomal RNA (253 nucleotides) under uncultured bacterium. Its description in RNAcentral is "partial 16S ribosomal RNA". It matches the Rfam family "Bacterial small subunit ribosomal RNA", at positions 524 to 776 of the family's 1533-position model. RNAcentral also lists the same sequence under 1 other name. The record is from RNAcentral.
UACGUAGGUGACCAGCGUUGUCCGGAUUUACUGGGCGUAAAGAGCGCGCAGGCGGUCGUUCAAGUCGAGUGUGAAAGCCCCCGGCUCAACUGGGGAGGGUCAUUCGAUACUGAUCGACUCGAAGGCAGGAGAGGGAAGCGGAAUUCCCGGUGUAGUGGUGAAAUGCGUAGAUAUCGGGAGGAACACCAGUGGCGAAGGCGGCUUCCUGGCCUGUUCUUGACGCUGAGGCGCGAAAGCUAGGGGAGCAAACGGG